Molecule: long non-coding RNA, 250 nt
Filed under: Setaria italica (foxtail millet)
Lineage: Eukaryota; Viridiplantae; Streptophyta; Magnoliopsida; Poales; Poaceae
Description: long non-coding RNA (SITA_LNC002130)
Source: RNAcentral
UCUUCGUCCCCUGCUUGGGUAUUCAACGCAUGUUCUUCAGGGUUUGAUGGUUCAGCCAUAGGAAUAAAAUUUUCGUCACGAUCGCACAUAUCAAAGGCCGUAUCAGCGAUAGCAUUCUCUCGAAUAAAAUUGUGAAUUGCCAUGCAUGCUACUAUUAUUUUGCUUUGCUUCUGAAUUGGAAAACUUGGUAUGCCUAACAAAAUCCUCCACUUCAUCUUCAAAACUCCAAAGGACCUCUCGAUAACAUUUC